RNAcentral lists this ribosomal RNA (253 nucleotides) under uncultured bacterium. Its description in RNAcentral is "partial 16S ribosomal RNA". It matches the Rfam family "Bacterial small subunit ribosomal RNA", at positions 524 to 776 of the family's 1533-position model. The record is from RNAcentral.
UACGGAGGUGGCGAGCGGUGUUCGGAAUUACUGGGAGUAAAGCGCACGUAGGCGGAUGUUCAAGGCGGGGGUGAAAUCCCGGGGCUCAACCCCGGAAUGGCCUCCGAUACUGGAUGUCUUGGGGUCUGGAGAGGUGGGUGGAAUUCCGAGUGUAGAGGUGAAAUUCGUAGAUAUUCGGAGGAACACCAGUGGCGAAGGCGGCCCACUGGCCAGAUACUGACGCUGAGGUGCGAAAGCGUGGGGAGCAACCAGG